This 426-nucleotide ribosomal RNA is filed under the name uncultured bacterium. RNAcentral describes it as "bacterial SSU rRNA". It matches the Rfam family "Bacterial small subunit ribosomal RNA", at positions 355 to 774 of the family's 1533-position model. The record is from RNAcentral.
UCGAGAAUUUUUCUCAAUGGGGGAAACCCUGAAGGAGCGACGCCGCGUGGAGGAUGAAGGUCUUCGGGUUGUAAACUCCUGUCAUUUGGGAACAAGUUGGACGCCGUAACUGCGCGUCCAUUGAUAGUACCAGAAGAGGAAGAGACGGCUAACUCUGUGCCAGCAGCCGCGGUAAUACAGAGGUCUCAAGCGUUGUUCGGAUUCAUUGGGCGUAAAGGGUGUGUAGGUGGCGCGCUAAGUCGGGUGUGAAAUUUCGGAGCUUAACUCCGAAACUGCAUUCGAUACUGGCGUGCUUGAGGACUGGAGAGGAGACUGGAAUUCAUGGUGUAGCAGUGAAAUGCGUAGAGAUCAUGAGGAAGACCAGUGGCGAAGGCGGGUCUCUGGACAGUUCCUGACACUGAGACACGAAGGCCAGGGGAGCAAACG